RNAcentral lists this long non-coding RNA (214 nucleotides) under Cicer arietinum (chickpea). RNAcentral describes it as "long non-coding RNA (CARI_LNC000182)". Lineage: Eukaryota; Viridiplantae; Streptophyta; Magnoliopsida; Fabales; Fabaceae. The record is from RNAcentral.
ACAACUCUAUCUUCUACCUUCCUCUAGUUUUCUGAUUGUUUUAGAAAAUUUCCUCUCCUCUCUCAGUUCUGUUUGCCUCAAUUUAUAAGAGAAACGGCUAAUGUUUUCAUUCAUUGUACAAAUACAUGUUCUGGAUUUUGUAUUGUUACUCAACAAAAAUUCAUUGGAUUUUACACUGUUUUUGUAAUAAAAUUUAAGCAAGAUACCAUUAAGG